RNAcentral lists this ribosomal RNA (608 nucleotides) under Cellulomonas marina. Its description in RNAcentral is "bacterial SSU rRNA". It matches the Rfam family "Bacterial small subunit ribosomal RNA", at positions 75 to 698 of the family's 1533-position model. Lineage: Bacteria; Bacillati; Actinomycetota; Actinomycetes; Micrococcales; Cellulomonadaceae. The record is from RNAcentral.
UCAGCUUGCUGGGGUGAUCAGUGGCGAACGGGUGAGUAACACGUGAGCAACCUGCCCCUGACUCUGGGAUAACUGCUGGAAACGGUGGCUAAUACCGGAUACGACCUGCCGGGGCAUCCUGGUGGGUGGAAAGUUUUUCGGUCGGGGAUGGGCUCGCGGCCUAUCAGCUUGUUGGUGGGGUAGUGGCCUACCAAGGCGACGACGGGUAGCCGGCCUGAGAGGGCGACCGGCCACACUGGGACUGAGACACGGCCCAGACUCCUACGGGAGGCAGCAGUGGGGAAUAUUGCACAAUGGGCGCAAGCCUGAUGCAGCGACGCCGCGUGAGGGAUGACGGCCUUCGGGUUGUAAACCUCUUUCAGCAGGGAAGAAGCGAGAGUGACGGUACCUGCAGAAGAAGCGCCGGCUAACUACGUGCCAGCAGCCGCGGUAAUACGUAGGGCGCAAGCGUUGUCCGGAAUUGUUGGGCGUAAAGAGCUCGUAGGCGGUGUGUCGCGUCUGCUGUGAAAUCCUCAGGCUCAACCUGGGGCUUGCAGUGGGUACGGGCACACUAGAGUGCGGUAGGGGUGACUGGAAUUCCUGGUGUAGCGGUGGAAUGCGCAGAUAUC